UGACUUUUUGUGUAGCAAAUUUGUUUUAUAUUCAGUAUAUAUUUGUUUUGAUAUUGAAUCAAACAAUGCAAACUAAUAUACUUCAACCAUUUAUAAGUUCAUCGAUCAGUGAUCACGCGCAUCACAACAGCAAUUGAAUGUUCUCUUACUUCCUCACUGACAUAUGACCAACGAAAUUAACCUAAAUGUGUAUUCGAUGUAAAAGCAAAUGUCAAAAUUGCGUUAGUUUGCAUUUUUGUUGUGUGCAAGUAAACGAAAGAAUCAGAUCGUAUUUGUUGUCGCUCUCUUCAUAGACAAAUUUAUUUGUGGAUCGUACAGUGAAUAAUGAGAAAUAUCCAUCAAAUUGUAAGGGAAAAUACGCAUAUUCAUCGAUAAAUAAACUGAGAGAACCGGGAAAAUAAAAAGUGUAGAACACACCGAACGAGACGAAGCGAUAGCAAAAGGCGCACAGGCCAAAAGCACGCAAAAAAGUACCCAUCGAAAACAAUCUAGCCGAGGAACGAAACGGUUGCCGUGUUCGAGCGCGCGCUGUGUUGCACCAUUAAGCCGCUUUAAUAGUGAUCACAUCGAGUGCAGUCCAUGAGCGAGUGAGUGAGUGGUUGGUGCAAAUGCGAAAAAGAAAAUAAUUUUCCGUCAUUGAUUACUUUUUCGCGCACAUUUAAUUGGUUCGCGGCAAAGGUGCGAGGGAGUCUCCGCAUUCCACUCAAAUCACUCCGAUUGAGCUACGAUUGAAUAUUUCACGCUAUUUAUUUGUCAACGACGGAAAUCAUUAGCUAAUAACAAUAAUAGAGAUCGACCAUUAACAGUAUUUGCUGAUCAAUUGUUGUUGAUGUCGCUAAUCGUGGAGCCAAUGAAUUUUUGAUGAAAAACACCAAACAAUAAAAUUAUGAUCAAAGAUAAUGCCAUAAGACAUAAAGUGGAUACCAAAAUGGAAAUAGCUGAAACAAAAUGAAAAUUUCCACGAAAUGAUCAGGCUGACAGCUCAAGACCUAAUUAAUUGAUAGAUUUAAGAAAUGCUUUAAAUAUUUGGCUUUCAUUAAAUGCGUGCUAUUUGUGGUGGUUUUUAGGAAGCUGUUGGCAUGUUUCUCUGUUCAAUUUUUUUUUCUUCGCCUUUCGUUGUUUUUCUCUGAAAUAGCUCACAACAAAUACCAAAAUGUGUGUGUGUGUGUGUGUAUGUGUGUGUGUACAGUUUCAGCGGUCGACGAUCAAUGAAAAAUGUGAGGCGAUCAAUCAAAAAACUGUUUAAAUGCGAACACACACACACACACACACACACAAUUUGAUUGAUUUGAAAUCCGAAGCCAUUGUAAUCCCAAGCAUCACACAUCACUACACGAUGGCACGUCUCUCUAUCUAUCACUUCCUACCAGUGCAUGCACCCAUAACAAAUAGUUGGAUCAUAAGAAAUGAGUUGUUUUUAAGCCGUAUUCAACUUUGUUUUAUGAAUAUUCAAUGAUAAUUAAAGAUAAAAGAAUUUCCAUUGAAACAAAUGGACACAUAGAGGAGAAAAAAAA
Long non-coding RNA from Sitodiplosis mosellana (orange wheat blossom midge), 1514 nucleotides. RefSeq lists it as uncharacterized. The transcript is spliced from 3 exons. NCBI's taxonomy places the organism in Eukaryota, Metazoa, Arthropoda, Insecta, Diptera, Cecidomyiidae. The record is from RefSeq and is a predicted model, not a curated record.